This 333-nucleotide ribosomal RNA is filed under the name Triticum aestivum (bread wheat). RNAcentral describes it as "partial small subunit ribosomal RNA". The record is from RNAcentral. Lineage: Eukaryota; Viridiplantae; Streptophyta; Magnoliopsida; Poales; Poaceae.
CUCUUGAGGAGGUAUUGUGAUGCAUCUGGUCAGCAAAUUAAUGUUGAUAAAUCUUCAAUUUAUUUCAGCAAGGGGGUGAUCGAAGCCCUCGGAGCCUCUGUUAAAAACAUUCUUCAAGUGCAAAAUGAAUCUCUAUCAGAGAAGUACUUGGGUCUUCCUUCGGACGUGGGCAACACCAAAGAAGGUAGCUUCAAAUACCUUAAGGACAGAAUAUGGAAACGGGUACAAGGUUGGAUGGACAAGUGCCUUUCAGUAGGUGGUAAGGAGGUUCUCAUCAAGUCAGUUGUGCAAUCGAUACCUACCUAUUCAAUGUCUUGCAUUAAGCUACCCUGA